This is a long non-coding RNA of Eptesicus fuscus (big brown bat), 1121 nucleotides long. RefSeq lists it as uncharacterized. The record is from RefSeq and is a predicted model, not a curated record. NCBI's taxonomy places the organism in Eukaryota, Metazoa, Chordata, Mammalia, Chiroptera, Vespertilionidae. The transcript has 4 exons.
UGGGGCUUGUCAUUUCACCUUGGUCUUCUUUGAAAACAGGAAUUUCAGCUCUGCUCAGCUCCAACGUCUGCAUCUCUCUGAUCUAUUGUUCCCGGGUAGUUGCUAUUUCCAUUUCUCUGUGACUUUCCUAAAGUUUAAAUUUGAUAGAGAGACCCAGCUAACUAGAGGGAGGACUGCCGCACGAGACUAACAUCAGGUGUUACUAUCAUUCGUUUCAACGGCAAGAACAUGAAGUAUCGGAGAGCGUUGGCUCGUCAAAGAAGGCUUGUUUAUGUCUAACCCGACUGUGACAUCGCCUGUGCCCUCGCAGGUUCUGGAACACGCUCCCGUUCUCUGCCACAGCUGCUCAGGAAGGGCAGGCACCUUUCACAUCAGCCUGGAUAGACCCCGAGGUGAAGACUCAGGUGCCCGGGUCUCAAGUUAUGGCCGUCAAUUAACACAGAUCAGCACAUCAGGCUGUGGACUCGAGCCUUGGACACACCUGCCACACUCCCAUGUCACCCUGGGACAAAGUGGGGUGGGCUGGCUGCACACUGCCAAGAGCGAAUCCCGGGAAUUGCUUUGUCCUCGCCUCAGUUGGCCUUCUGCAUCAUGAUUGCACGAAGAACACUGAGAGCAUGCGGGGUUUAAGAAAAGAGAACGGAAGUGCUGGAUUCAUAUCCAUGUGCACAUAAAAGGCAUCUGCUUUCAUCCGAGCAGAAGGUCACAGAACAUUCCUAAUCUGCUUCAAAUCAUUUGAAGUUACAUUCUUAUGCCAAUGGCAGAGUCAAUACAAGAUUUGCUUAAAAUUCCCUGGUCAUGAUCUGCUCUACUUUAAAUCCGCAUUUUUCAAAGCAUGCUCUUUGGAAUAUUUGCUCCGAAGAAUGUUAGGAGUUAACGAAACAUGAAUAACGAUAUCUGGCUGGUAAAAUAUGAGAAGGGGUGGGCUCCACAAAACUUAAAUUGUAGGAUCUCUCGGAGCCCUGAAAUGAAAGUUGGCUCUGUUUAUCUCUAAGGGGCGUUAUGGUGUGCCAUAUUUUCCUAAUUGGAUUUCAACCUCUGUUGGUGAGAAACAUCUCCUAGGACUCGUGUUCUUCUAAAUCCACAUUGGAAAACGGAUUAAAAACCCAGCGAAGAUGAAA